UACGAAGGGGGCUAGCGUUGCUCGGAAUUACUGGGCGUAAAGCGCACGUAGGCGGCUCUUUAAGUCGGGGGUGAAAUCCUGGAGCUCAACUCCAGAACUGCCUUCGAUACUGUAGAGCUUGAGUUCGGGAGAGGUGAGUGGAACUGCGAGUGUAGAGGUGAAAUUCGUAGAUAUUCGCAAGAACACCAGUGGCGAAGGCGGCUCACUGGCCCGGUACUGACGCUGAGGCACGGAAAGCGUGGGGAGCAAACAGGG
Molecule: ribosomal RNA, 255 nt
Filed under: uncultured bacterium
Lineage: Bacteria
Description: partial 16S ribosomal RNA
Rfam family: Bacterial small subunit ribosomal RNA
Source: RNAcentral